CCUCAACGAGCCUCUCGCAGGGCAGCAGCACGAGUUCUUCCUUCAAAAUUAUAAUGCCCCAAAUUUAAAAAGGUCGAUUUGCUUGAGAAUGCGGCGGUUGGUGAGGUGGAGGUGCUCUCGUCGGUGUAGGAGGAGGUGAAGAACAAGAACUUCGAGUUGGUGUCUUUAACUAUUUUUUGAGUUUGGUAUAGAAGGACCAUGUAUUUGAUGCCUAGGGGAGAGAGGAGGUGGCAGAGCCACAGCCCACAUGGCCAAAGCUGGAACUCGCACUCCUAUGGAAACAUGCUGCGUCCAUGGAUACAAGCUGCUGGGCUGCCAGAAUAAGCACGCGUUAAUACCUGUUUUUGUGCACUUGUGUGCGCGUGUAGCAGAAAUUGUCAGAAAUCUUACCGACAUGGAUAAUGAUACAUAUGAUAGGGCACGGGAAUUGCUGGAGCUUGGAUCUCCAAAAGGAUCGUAAAAUUCAUUGCAUGUUGCAGGUUUCUCCUAUCGAUCGAGGAUAAAACAAGAGAUAAUUGAUCGGGAUGGUUUACAAAUUUAUCGAUGUGUGAGGAUGUUGCAGUAGUCGGAAGCAAGAAAGACUCCGACGAGGCCAACAAGCAAGAAUUGGAGUGUUGGCAUGGAUGCCACCAC
Asparagus officinalis (garden asparagus) is the source of this 633-nucleotide long non-coding RNA. RefSeq lists it as uncharacterized. The transcript is spliced from 6 exons. The record is from RefSeq and is a predicted model, not a curated record. NCBI's taxonomy places the organism in Eukaryota, Viridiplantae, Streptophyta, Magnoliopsida, Asparagales, Asparagaceae.